Molecule: ribosomal RNA, 327 nt
Filed under: Chaetomium sp.
Lineage: Eukaryota; Fungi; Ascomycota; Sordariomycetes; Sordariales; Chaetomiaceae
Description: partial large subunit ribosomal RNA
Rfam family: Eukaryotic large subunit ribosomal RNA
Source: RNAcentral
UAGACCGAUAGCGAACAAGUAGAGUGAUCGAAAGAUGAAAAGCACUUUGAAAAGAGGGUUAAAUAGCACGUGAAAUUGUUGAAAGGGAAGCGCUUGUGACCAGACUUGCGCCGGGCGGAUCAUCCGGUGUUCUCACCGGUGCACUCCGCCCGGCUCAGGCCAGCAUCGGUUCUCGCGGGGGGAUAAAGGUCCUGGGAACGUAGCUCCUCCGGGAGUGUUAUAGCCCGGGGCGUAAUGCCCUCGCGGGGACCGAGGUUCGCGCAUCUGCAAGGAUGCUGGCGUAAUGGUCAUCAGCGACCCGUCUUGAAACACGGACCAAGACGCUGA